Molecule: ribosomal RNA, 57 nt
Filed under: uncultured Bacteroides sp.
Lineage: Bacteria; Pseudomonadati; Bacteroidota; Bacteroidia; Bacteroidales; Bacteroidaceae
Description: partial 16S rRNA
Source: RNAcentral
CGGGCUUAAAUUGCAACAGAAUAUAUUGGAAACAGUAUAGCCGUAAGGCUGUUGUGA